Molecule: long non-coding RNA, 1630 nt
Filed under: Nicotiana benthamiana
Lineage: Eukaryota; Viridiplantae; Streptophyta; Magnoliopsida; Solanales; Solanaceae
Description: long non-coding RNA (NBEN_LNC039862)
Source: RNAcentral
UGAAUACAAAGAAAAUCUAUGAAUCACAAUUCUCAUAUGAAAAGAAUACUUUGAAAAUGAGAGAAGCAAGAUUCCAAGCUACAAGCCAAAUUGGUAAUCGUAUUCUAAACCCAUGCUUUUUUACCAAGGGUUAAAGAAUGUAAAAGUCCGAUCAAGUAAAAUAACAUGAGUUGACUAUUCGACAUUUACGUGAAGCUAUAGAAGACCGCAUUUGGUCUAAUGGGCAAUGCACAAAGUCAUUGCUUCUCUGAGACUCUAACUCUAAGCAUUAUAGUUUAUUUUGAGAAGUGUUUUUUAAAAAGUUAUUUUUUCAAAAGUAAUUUUAAUAAGAAAGCAGUUUAUGUUUGGCUAAUUAAUUUAAAAAUUGCUUCUGAACAACAAUUAAUGUUUAAAAAACUGAUUUUAAAUGUAUUUUUAUCAAAAGUGCUUUUUUCAAAAAAAUAAUUUUUAAAGAGAAACUACUUUUUUUAGCACUUUUUUUUCUUCCAACACAUCAAUUUUUGGCCAAAAAUACUUUUAACCAAGAAAAAAGUAUUUUUGGGAAAAAAUAAACUUGACCAAACAAGCUAUUAAUAGGCCAAGUGCAGAACAACAAUAGAAGCAAAAACGAACAGAUUAACCACUAAUUCCAAUUAAAGGAAAACUCAUACCCAUGUCAUUAGCAUAAAUCGGUCAUUAUCAUCAAAGGAAAACUCUUCGUUUUCAAUUACAUCCCUUUGUCGUUCUCAUCAAUCCCCUUUUAUAAAUGUAUGUGCGUUUGAUUUUCUUUUAAAAAAGUGGGUGUAGGGGUUGCUGGUGAAGAUGGUGAGCGAAGAAGCAGGAAAAAGGGAGCCGUUUUGGUGCGCUGCUUUUUUGCUUUUGUAGAGGUGGGGUCCUUCUUUUUAUCUUCUUCUCUAAGAGAAUAACGUCGUUCUUCGUUUUUUCUCCAAGGGUGGGGGUCUGAUAAUGUGUUUUCCUCAUUUUGUUCAAAAGUUGCUCGGUUUCUUGGUUAUGGGAGGAGGGGUCUGUGGUGUUUUGAGAAGAAGAAGAAUAGAGGAGAAUGGGGGAAGAUGCGUCGUUUUGUGUUUGUGAGAGAGAAGGGGAUUUUUCUUAGUCUUCUGAUAAUGUCCCCUAGGUGUAGGAGCUAGGUUUUUUAAAGGGAUUUUUAUAUAUAUAUAUAUAUAUACUAUAUAGCAAAUCUUAUUAUCAAAAUUGUGUAUGGUUUGGUAUUUAUCUAUCUAUAUCAUAUUUUGUUUACAAAAAUUGUACCAAACCAAAAAUAGAUAGAUUCUACCCUAAAAGGCUCCAAAUUUGUAGGAAUUACAUUUAAUUGUGAUUCUAUCACCAUUAAUUUCUAAAUUAAAAACGGAAGAAAAUCUAUUGCAGCGUAAUUCUCUCCUUCUCCAUAUAUUUUCCACCAUUAAUAGCCAUUAAAAAGCUUGAAAGCUUUGAAUUCAAAUUNNNNNNNNNNNNNNNNNNNNNNNNNNNNNNNNNNNNNNNNNNAAACGUUGAAAGCUUUGAAUUCAAAUUUAGAUUUUCAAAAAUCAUUAUUUGUUUGGAUUGGGUGUUGUUGUAAAUAAUUCGAAAUAUGUUUAUGAGUUUAUAUCUCAAUUUUGAGGGGUUUUGGUGAAGAUUAGACUUGGUUUUGACU